GACGAACGCUGGCGGCGUGCUAAACACAUGCAAGUCGAACGGAAAGGCCCUUCGGGGUACUCGAGUGGCGAACGGGUGAGUAACACGUGGGUGAUCUGCCCUGCACUUUGGGAUAAGCCUGGGAAACUGGGUCUAAUACCGGAUAGGACCACGCGCUUCAUGGUGUGUGGUGGAAAGCUUUUGCGGUGUGGGAUGGGCCCGCGGCCUAUCAGCUUGUUGGUGGGGUAAUGGCCUACCAAGGCGACGACGGGUAGCCGGCCUGAGAGGGUGACCGGCCACACUGGGACUGGGAUACGGCCCAGACUCCUACGGGAGGCAGCAGUGGGGAAUACUGCACAAUGGGCGCAAGCCUGAUGCAGCGACGCCGCGUGAGGGAUGACGGCCUUCGGGUUGUAAACCUCUUUCGCCAGGGACGAAGCGCAAGUGACGGUACCUGGAGAAGAAGGACCGGCCAACUACGUGCCAGCCGCCGCCGUAA
Molecule: ribosomal RNA, 478 nt
Filed under: uncultured bacterium
Lineage: Bacteria
Description: partial 16S ribosomal RNA
Rfam family: Bacterial small subunit ribosomal RNA
Source: RNAcentral